AUGCCUUGUGUUCAGCCCCGUGAACCUGAGCUUGAGCUGCAGGGCUCCGGAGCCCCCAGGGCACAUCCCGAAACUGGGGACACCAGCGGCAGGGCCUCAGCAGGCAGGGUGGGGUGCAAGACUUGGCGGGGGGCGGCAAUUUGCCAACGUCUACUGAGAACCCUGGGAGCCACGGGCGCUCAGAGGGGCAGGCGAGGCGGGUGGGCAGGAGGCCCCCAGAGCUGCUGUCAGGUGUGGGCGCGACAGGAGACAGCAGCGGGGCUGGCCAGGCCGAGCCCCUCCUUUAAGGGGACACAGCUCUCUGUGUCCAGAUGCCUAACCCCGUGGACGACAAUCCUACGGCCAGGGAGCUUUCAGCUCGGCACGGCGCCUGUGUGUAGCUCCUCUCCAUGGCCCCGUGCCGCCGGCAGGGCCAGGGCUGCCUCCAGUGCCCUGGACAAUGUCAGGGCAGUGCCUCUGUGGGGAGAGCUUGACCUGGAAUUCCAGCCUGGGAUGCUGGCUUGCCCGUCUCUUGCUCGUGUUCACACACACGCGAACCCCCUGGGUGCGUGCAAAGCAGGCUGCGAAACGCAAGGUCUUCAGAUCACGCUCGGGUGCCCCCGCCUCGUAUUGCACCUCAUUACCACGAGGUCUCUGCGCCUCUGGCCGCGGACGGCCCCAGAGCCUAGCGCGUGUGAAUCAGCCCACAAGUGGUUUCUGCCGCUGCAAACUAAACACAUUCCUUCCACGUUAGCCUCGCGGUUAAAAAAAGAAGCUGUGCGCUCGGGGGGAGCCAUGACAUCUCAAAAGGUGAAGCCAGAGGGGGAAGAGAAAGGAACCCCAGUGUGGCCUGGCCACACUCCCUGCCUCUGUGCCUUCCCAAGUAGGGGCUUCCCACGGAAGGCUGCCGCGCUGGGCCAAGAGCAGGUGUUGGAGAACUCUCUAGAACAUGGCCAAGGACCAGGCAUCCCCCGAGACGCAGGCAUCCCCCAGGUUACACAGGGAACACCCGGGCCUAUGCGAGGCGGGCGGGGGUGA
Molecule: long non-coding RNA, 1017 nt
Filed under: Oryctolagus cuniculus (rabbit)
Lineage: Eukaryota; Metazoa; Chordata; Mammalia; Lagomorpha; Leporidae
Description: lncRNA (ENSOCUG00000030872.1)
Source: RNAcentral